RNAcentral lists this long non-coding RNA (207 nucleotides) under Hordeum vulgare. RNAcentral describes it as "long non-coding RNA (HVUL_LNC013580)". The record is from RNAcentral. Lineage: Eukaryota; Viridiplantae; Streptophyta; Magnoliopsida; Poales; Poaceae.
CCAUCUCUAAACUCCCAUUCCCCCUCCGUGUUGUUACCAAACACGUUGUAACCGAAAGAAGAGAUUGUUCCGAAACUACCACAAGACAGGGCAGCACCACAAAUCAGGUACAGGUGCGUGUCUCUUUUAUCAUCUCCCCGAAUAAAGAUAAACGAAAAUCCCUAUUCUUAAGUACAAAUUUUACAAAAAAAAAAAAAAAAAAAAAAC